ACUGGCGAGGCCACCCACUGUUCUCCUGAGGUCAUCUUGAGUGACUGAGGUCAUGAACGCUGGAACAAGAUACGGAUGUUAUAGGUUAUAUUGUGUCACCAAUGGUUUGGUAAAUGGACCAACCAGACCCACCUUCAGACACGGAGUGAGAAGGAUGGGGAGGUUUUUGACCAGGUGAGACUGAACAUGGACAAGGCGCAGGAUAAACAGAAGGAGAUCUACCGGAGCAGAAUCAAGAAGGGGACCAAGUGCUAAGACAUCCGGGCGAAUGACUUGGUUUGGAAGAAGGACAAAAGGAAGUCGAGACCUGGGAAACCUCGCUGCUCUUUCACUUCUA
Molecule: long non-coding RNA, 337 nt
Organism: Oncorhynchus kisutch (coho salmon)
Lineage: Eukaryota; Metazoa; Chordata; Actinopteri; Salmoniformes; Salmonidae
Exons: 3
Source: RefSeq, a predicted model, not a curated record